Molecule: ribosomal RNA, 253 nt
Filed under: uncultured bacterium
Lineage: Bacteria
Description: partial 16S ribosomal RNA
Rfam family: Bacterial small subunit ribosomal RNA
Source: RNAcentral
UACGUAGGGACCAAGCGUUGUUCGGAUUUACUGGGCGUAAAGGGCGCGUAGGCGGCAAUUCAAGUCAUCUGUGAAAUCUCCGGGCUUAACUCGGAACGGUCAGAUGAUACUGCUUUGCUAGAGUGCAGAAGGGGCAAUCGGAAUUCUCGGUGUAGCGGUGAAAUGCGUAGAUAUCGGGAGGAACACCAGUGGCGAAGGCGACUACCUGGCCUGUUCUUGACGCUGAGGCGCGAAAGCUAGGGGAGCAAACGGG